GACGAACGCUGGCGGCGUGCCUAAUACAUGCAAGUAGAACGCUGAAGAGAGGAGCUUGCUCUUCUUGGAUGAGUUGCGAACGGGUGAGUAACGCGUAGGUAACCUGCCUUGUGGCGGGGGAUAACUAUUGGAAACGAUAGCUAAUACCGCAUAACAAUAGGUGACACAUGUCAUUUAUUUGAAAGGGGCAAUUGCUCCACUACAAGAUGGACCUGCGUUGUAUUAGCUAGUAGGUGAGGUAACGGCUCACCUAGGCGACGAUACAUAGCCGACCUGAGAGGGUGAUCGGCCACACUGGGACUGAGACACGGCCCAGACUCCUACGGGAGGCAGCAGUAGGGAAUCUUCGGCAAUAGGGGCAACCCUGACCGAGCAACGCCGCGUGAGUGAAGAAGGUUUUCGGAUCGUAAAGCUCUGUUGUAAGUCAAGAACGAGUGUGAGAGUGGAAAGUUCACACUGUGACGGUAGCUUACCAGAAAGGGACGGCUAACUACGUG
Molecule: ribosomal RNA, 497 nt
Filed under: uncultured bacterium
Lineage: Bacteria
Description: partial 16S ribosomal RNA
Rfam family: Bacterial small subunit ribosomal RNA
Source: RNAcentral